UACGUAGGGGGCAAGCGUUAUCCGGAUUUACUGGGUGUAAAGGGAGCGUAGGCGGCAGUGCAAGUCAGAAGUGAAAGCCCGGGGCUCAACUCCGGGACUGCUUUUGAAACUGUACAGCUUGAUUGCAGGAGAGGCAAGUGGAAUUCCUAGUGUAGCGGUGAAAUGCGUAGAUAUUAGGAGGAACACCAGUGGCGAAGGCGGAUGACUGGACGGCAACUGACGGUGAGGCGCGAAAGCGUGGGGAGCAAACAGG
RNAcentral lists this ribosomal RNA (253 nucleotides) under uncultured Coprococcus sp. RNAcentral describes it as "partial 16S ribosomal RNA". It matches the Rfam family "Bacterial small subunit ribosomal RNA", at positions 524 to 776 of the family's 1533-position model. Lineage: Bacteria; Bacillati; Bacillota; Clostridia; Lachnospirales; Lachnospiraceae. The record is from RNAcentral.